RNAcentral lists this ribosomal RNA (232 nucleotides) under uncultured bacterium. Its description in RNAcentral is "partial 16S ribosomal RNA". It matches the Rfam family "Bacterial small subunit ribosomal RNA", at positions 118 to 350 of the family's 1533-position model. The record is from RNAcentral.
UGAGUAACCUGCCCUUCACUCUGGGAUAACUCCGGGAAACCGGGGCUAAUACUGGAUAUGACUCGAACAGGCAUCUGUUUCGGGUGGAAAGAUUUAUUGGUGGAGGAUGGACUCGCGGCCUAUCAGCUUGUUGGUAAGGUAAUGGCUCACCAAGGCGACGACGGGUAGCCGGCCUGAGAGGGCGAUCGGCCACACUGGGACUGAGACACGGCCCAGACUCCUACGGGAGGCA